Molecule: long non-coding RNA, 511 nt
Organism: Triticum urartu
Lineage: Eukaryota; Viridiplantae; Streptophyta; Magnoliopsida; Poales; Poaceae
Source: RefSeq, a predicted model, not a curated record
UUGUGGCGCACAUAGGGCGCCAUGCCCGUGGAUGGCCACCACGUUGCCUCCCCAAGGCUAUAUAUACGUCCUCUGGAAACCCUAAACUGCCCUCUUUCAUUCCCCCUUCGCCCCCUUCCUCUACUGCCCGAAUCUGAGCUCGAAAGAUCCGUGGUGACCGUUGCCUCUUCGUCGUUGACGCGGCCACCGGCGUCUCCGGCGUGCGGGAGCACGUCGAGGAGGUCCGCCACGGUCGACUUCGUCCGUCCCGGGGACCGAAUCAAGCCAAGGCGCCGCAUAGACGUCGCCAUCACCGGUCUUCUCCACCAUGGCCGACACCACCAUGUCGUCAUUGCCUCUGCUACAGACCGCCCCUGGCCUCCCCGGCCUCGCCAUCGCGCUCACAACCGCUGUCGGUACCCCUGUGUUCGACCACAUCGACGAUGACCCCUCCUUCUUGCCAGAGCAACCAGACGUUGGAGUCCAGGAGUCAGGCGCCACUGUCGAUGACGAAUGCUACUACUCGGGAGGU